RNAcentral lists this transfer RNA (127 nucleotides) under Lepidozia sandvicensis. Its description in RNAcentral is "tRNA-Leu". The stretch from base 43 to 127 matches the Rfam family "tRNA". Rfam says of the family: Transfer RNA (tRNA) molecules are approximately 80 nucleotides in length. Their secondary structure includes four short double-helical elements and three loops (D, anti-codon, and T loops). The record is from RNAcentral. Lineage: Eukaryota; Viridiplantae; Streptophyta; Jungermanniopsida; Jungermanniales; Lepidoziaceae.
GCGGAUAUGAUGGAAUUGGUAGAGCGGAUAUGAUGGAGUAGAGCGGAUAUGAUGGAAUUGGUAGACAUGCCAGGUUUAGGUUCUGGUGACCACAAUGUUCGUGGGGGUUCGAGUCCCUCUAUCCGUA